UACGUAGGGGGCAAGCGUUGUCCGGAAUCAUUGGGCGUAAAGCGCGCGUAGGCGGCCCUGUAAGUCCGUUGUGAAAGUCAAAGGCUCAACCUUUGAAAGCCGAUGGAUACUGCAGGGCUAGAGUCCGGAAGAGGCGAGUGGAAUUCCUGGUGUAGCGGUGGAAUGCGCAGAUAUCAGGAGGAACACCAAUAGCGAAGGCAGCUCGCUGGGACGGUACUGACGCUAAGGUGCGAAAGCGUGGGGAGCGAACAGG
RNAcentral lists this ribosomal RNA (253 nucleotides) under uncultured bacterium. RNAcentral's name for it is "partial 16S ribosomal RNA". It matches the Rfam family "Bacterial small subunit ribosomal RNA", at positions 524 to 776 of the family's 1533-position model. The record is from RNAcentral.